RNAcentral lists this ribosomal RNA (524 nucleotides) under uncultured bacterium. RNAcentral's name for it is "partial 16S ribosomal RNA". It matches the Rfam family "Bacterial small subunit ribosomal RNA", at positions 28 to 523 of the family's 1533-position model. The record is from RNAcentral.
GACGAACGCUGGCGGCGUGCCUAAUACAUGCAAGUCGAGCGCAGGAAACCGUCUGAACCCUUCGGGGGGACGACGAUGGAAUGAGCGGCGGACGGGUGAGUAACACGUAAAGAACCUGCCCACGGGUCUGGGAUAACCACGAGAAAUCGGGGCUAAUACCGGACGGGUCAUCGGACCGCAUGGUCCGAGGAUGAAAGGCGCUCCGGCGUCGCCCGUGGAUGGCUUUGCGGUGGAUUAGCUAGUUGGUGGGGUAACGGCCCACCAAGGCGACGAUGCAUAGCCGACCUGAGAGGGUGAUCGGCCACACUGGGACUGAGACACGGCCCAGACUCCUACGGGAGGCAGCAGUAGGGAAUCUUCCACAAUGGACGAAAGUCUGAUGGAGCAACGCCGCGUGAACGAUGAAGGCCCUCGGGUCGUAAAGUUCUGUUGUAAGGGAAGAACAAGUGCCGCAGGCAAUGGCGGCACCUUGACGGUACCUUGCGAGAAAGCCACGGCUAACUACGUGCCAGCCGCCGCGGUAA